CAGAGGUCUUUGCUUCCCACUACAGCUCACUGAAACAUAAAUUUCUCCAAUAUCUCCCCACUCAUCCUUUAGUCAGGAAAUACUCCAAUGAAACAUAGAACACAGCCUAAGGUACUACACAUCAGAAGAAUCACCAACCUCUUCAACUGUGCUCCUCUAGUGCUCAGAAAAUGUGAUGUUAAACAGAGUGGGGUUUGACGUAUGCUGAGAUCAGAGAGCAAGAUGCACACUGUAUCAUGACACCGAGGAUCUUGUGAGGACAUUUGGCAUCUAUAAUACACUAUCUGUAUGUGAUUUAAGUCACUCCCAAAGGUCCAACCCUUUUGCUUACUUAUUUUGUGCUUUUUAUGCAAAGUGUGACUUGCAUGUGCAAGCAUCAGUUUGUGGGAUCAGAUGACUUAAGGACUAUUGCCUAGAGACUUCCAAGAGUUUUUUGCAGUCUGUACAGGUGCCCUUUUUCCUUCAUGGUCUUCUACAUCCAACUAGAACUGCUUAUUUUUUUAGUUCCAGAAGUUUCUGGUUUGAUGAUGAUGGUGACUGUGCAUCCAUCACCAUUGUGCAUACUGUGUAUGUAAUGUUUAAAGGGAUUAAACUUUGACAAUACUCUUUCCUCAGGUCUCACAACACUGUAUGUAAAAUAAAGGAGUAUGAACUAUUUGGCACCCCUAGUAUGCACAUAUUUUACUGAAAUUUUACAA
Molecule: long non-coding RNA, 698 nt
Organism: Catharus ustulatus (Swainson's thrush)
Lineage: Eukaryota; Metazoa; Chordata; Aves; Passeriformes; Turdidae
Exons: 3
Source: RefSeq, a predicted model, not a curated record